Molecule: unclassified non-coding RNA, 421 nt
Filed under: Hevea brasiliensis (rubber tree)
Lineage: Eukaryota; Viridiplantae; Streptophyta; Magnoliopsida; Malpighiales; Euphorbiaceae
Source: RNAcentral
GCUGCUCGCAAGGCAUUUGAUGAGGGACCAUGGCCCAAAAUGAGUGCUUAUGAAAGGUCACGGAUAAUGCUAAAAUUUGCUGAUUUGGUGGAGAAACACAAUGAUGAGAUUGCAGCUUUAGAAACAUGGGAUAAUGGCAAGCCAUAUUUGCAGGCUGCCCAAGCUGAAGUACCUUCUUUUGUGCGAUUAUUUCGGUAUUAUGCUGGAUGGGCGGAUAAAAUCCAUGGUCUAACUGUUCCAGCUGAUGGGCCACACCAUGUACAAAUUUUACAUGAACCAAUUGGGGUUGCUGGUCAAAUAAUUCCAUGGAACUUUCCCCUUCUGAUGAUGGCCUGGAAAGUUGGGCCUGCUUUAGCGUGCGGUAACACUAUUGUCCUGAAGACUGCAGAGCAAACUCCACUGACUGCUCUUUAUGUUGCAA